CCCUAGUAACUGCGAGUGAAGCGGGAAGAGCUCAAAUUUAAAAUCUGGCGGUCUUAUGGCUGUCCGAGUUGUAAUCUAGAGAAGUGCUGCCCGCGCUGGACCGUGUACAAGUCUCCUGGGAUGGAGCGUCAUAGAGGGUGAGAAUCCCGUCUCUGACACGGACUACCAGGGCUUUGUGGUACGCUCUCAAAGAGUCGAGUUGUUUGGGAAUGCAGCUCAAAAUGGGUGGUAAAUUCCAUCUAAAGCUAAAUAUUGGCGAGAGACCGAUAGCGAACAAGUACCGUGAGGGAAAGAUGAAAAGAACUUUGGAAAGAGAGUUAAACAGUACGUGAAAUUGCUGAAAGGGAAACGCUUGAAGUCAGUCGCGUUGGCCAGGGAUCAGCCUUGCAUUUUUGCAUGGUGUAUUUUCUGGUUGACGGGUCAGCAUCAAUUUUGGCUGCUGGAAAAAGGCUUGAGGAAUGUGGCAGCUUUGGCUGUGUUAUAGCUUCUGGUCACAUACAGCAGUUGGGAUUGAGGAACUCAGCACGCCGCAAGGCCGGGUUUCGACCACGUUCGUGCUUAGGAUGCUGGCAUAAUGGCUUUAAGCGACCCGUCUUGAAACACGGACCAAGGAGUCUAACAUGCCUGCAAGUGUUUGGGUGGAAAACCCGAGCGCGUAAUGAAAGUGAAAGUUGAGAUCCCUGUCGUGGGGAGCAUCGACGCCCGGACCAGAACUUUUGGGACGGAUCCGCGGUAGAGCAUGUAUGUUGGGACCCGAAAGAUGGUGAACUAUGCCUGAAUAGGGUGAAGCCAGAGGAAACUCUGGUGGAGGCUCGUAGCGAUUCUGACGUGCAAAUCGAUCGUCAAAUUUGGGUAUAGGGGCGAAAGACUAAUCGAACCAUCUAGUAGCUGGUUCCUGCCGA
Molecule: ribosomal RNA, 902 nt
Filed under: Leucoagaricus sp.
Lineage: Eukaryota; Fungi; Basidiomycota; Agaricomycetes; Agaricales; Agaricaceae
Description: LSU rRNA
Rfam family: Eukaryotic large subunit ribosomal RNA
Source: RNAcentral